Molecule: long non-coding RNA, 1637 nt
Organism: Megalobrama amblycephala (Wuchang bream)
Lineage: Eukaryota; Metazoa; Chordata; Actinopteri; Cypriniformes; Xenocyprididae
Exons: 2
Source: RefSeq, a predicted model, not a curated record
AACUAAUACUAUUAGUGAUUUUACUCCUAUUAGUAACAGGAGUAAAAUCACUAAAGUUUACGGUAUCCAUAACCCUGCUAAAAUUGUGCAUCAACGUCAAAACACAUAACAAUAAUACUAAUAGUAUAUUAUAAAUUAUUCAGGUCAAUUGUUGUUAGGUUCAUUAUCAUUCAAAACCGGUGAAUAAUAAUUAGGAUAAUUAAUACAUUCCAUUUUUGCCGCCUCUAAAAGUCUGUGAAAAGUUAUUUAAUGUCUGUAUACAUAAGUAAAAUUGUAAUUUAUUUAUUUAUUUAUUUUUUUCAGUUGCAGCGUGGAGCGGCUCCCUGUGGUGACACAUUAAUAUACACUCUAAACAUUCGAAUUGUUCUACUUUUUCACUACUGUAGUUGUGAAGAAAAUUAUUACGACACUCGUCUUUUUUUAUUUUUAAUAAGUUUAUACAUGCAUACAAAAAACAUAAAAACAUAUACAUCCAUACAAAACAUAUUAAACCCCAAAAUACCAAUAUUCUAUUUGUAAGAUAUUUUUUUAUCUCUCUGCAGUGGCGUAUUUUUUCAUUAUAUUUAGAGACAUUAUAUAUAAGGACAUCGUUUAGUUCACAACAGCUGAUUUAAUGCAUUGAAUAAUUCUCAAUAGAAGACACGCCCUUCACAUAUGUCGUCAUCACUGGAGCCGCUUAGGGCUCGCGGUGGAGUAUCGCGGAUUUCUGUGAUACGGCGGCCGGUUAUAUUUAAAAACAAAAUUCAGCUGUACGAAUGAUCAUCCACAUUGCAUCCGUUACUCAGCUAACAUCGUCAAACCUUCGAGGGGGCGGGGUGAGUGAGGGCCGCUGUGAGGAUCCCACACUGUGGGGCAGUCACACGCUCAAUGGUGUCUCCCACAAUGAAGGCAUUGGUGGAUGCAGUUUGGGCGGUGUGGAGCAUUGGGGCCUCAAUCUAUGACUACAUCCACACGAGUGCCAUGGAAGAGCGCAUUCACUCACUGGAGAGUGUUAUAACUAUCCACCAGUGUGUCAUUGGCCUGCUGUCAGCUGCACUUGUGGCUCUCUUCACCUAUAUUCUGCUAAGAAAGCACUGACUCAGGACUAGUCAAGCCAGAGAGACUACAGCGGUGACAACAGAGGGAAUUUAUGUUGGUGUCAAGCUGUGUUCUGUUCACCUUAAAAGGGAUUUUAACAUGUCUGACUUUUACCUAAUCAAUAACUUACUAAACUUUAGUUACUCCCAACUCGUUAAAAAUUUUGCUGCUUCAUUAUCAGUUAAUGCGAUUCCAAGUAAUCUGGUAAACAAAAACAAGCGUGUUUCUUCACUAAAAAAUAGGCUUCCACCAUGGAUUUUAUAGGUUGUUCAGAGGGAAGGAUUCAGAGAUGCUACCUGACCAUGGUUUCUUUAUACACAUGCUUGGUGAAAGCUGAACAAACACAAAACCACCACUGGAUUAGUAGGCUUUUCAACCUGUUUGCUGCUAUCUUCAAUGGAGUCAGCUUUUGUGUAGCUUACUUUUAAACGACACAUUCAGCUUGCCAAUGUCAAAGUAUAACUUUGUUAACCUAUAACAUCUCAUACAACUUAUUUCUCAGAUCCAUGGGAAUUUAUUAAUAACAAUUAGUGACAUUGAUUAAACUCUUGAUUUCACAA